This 557-nucleotide long non-coding RNA is filed under the name Sorghum bicolor (sorghum). RNAcentral describes it as "long non-coding RNA (SBIC_LNC009281)". The record is from RNAcentral. Lineage: Eukaryota; Viridiplantae; Streptophyta; Magnoliopsida; Poales; Poaceae.
ACACCUCUCAAAUCUCCUCAAGGAUUAGAAAAUAUAUUGACCAAGAUAUCAGUUCACUGGUUGAUUAGUUGGACCAUCGACUAAACUAUAAUUUAUUAAAAAUAUGUUUUGUUUUUAAUCAAAUCACAAAGCUACAUAUAAUUGAGAGUCAAAAUAUUUGUUUCUCAUAGAAAGGGCGAUGGUUCAAAGAAUAAUUAUGUUUUUAUUUGUUUCUGCAUUUAUUUAUUAAAAAAACGAAAAACACCACAGCUGAGGAAAAGAAAUUGGGAAAAAAGACAGAACGGAUCCAAAAACUUGCCGAUAAAAAAAGUUAGGAACAAAAAACACCGUAGUUGAAGAACAAAUUUUGAAAAAAUAAAAUAGGACAAAUCGGAUGCACUUUACUGCGUCCGAGGAACAUGUGCGCCAGAGAAAAUAACUUGCGAACAAAAACAUUAGAAAUGUGAGGACAAAACGUUAAGCUUGUUACUUGUAACACCCGAUUUUAAGGACAAAAUCAGAUAUGCACCAGAUGUGAGUUUUAGAAGACAAACCCCACAUAUAGCUACAAAUAAGGG